Molecule: ribosomal RNA, 800 nt
Filed under: Bacillus pumilus
Lineage: Bacteria; Bacillati; Bacillota; Bacilli; Caryophanales; Bacillaceae
Description: bacterial SSU rRNA
Rfam family: Bacterial small subunit ribosomal RNA
Source: RNAcentral
AGUGGAAUUCCACGUGUAGCGGUGAAAUGCGUAGAGAUGUGGAGGAACACCAGUGGCGAAGGCGACUCUCUGGUCUGUAACUGACGCUGAGGAGCGAAAGCGUGGGGAGCGAACAGGAUUAGAUACCCUGGUAGUCCACGCCGUAAACGAUGAGUGCUAAGUGUUAGGGGGUUUCCGCCCCUUAGUGCUGCAGCUAACGCAUUAAGCACUCCGCCUGGGGAGUACGGUCGCAAGACUGAAACUCAAAGGAAUUGACGGGGGCCCGCACAAGCGGUGGAGCAUGUGGUUUAAUUUGAAGCAACGCGAAGAACCUUACCAGGUCUUGACAUCCUCUGACAACCCUAGAGAUAGGGCUUUCCCUUCGGGGACAGAGUGACAGGUGGUGCAUGGUUGUCGUCAGCUCGUGUCGUGAGAUGUUGGGUUAAGUCCCGCAACGAGCGCAACCCUUGAUCUUAGUUGCCAGCAUUCAGUUGGGCACUUUAAGGUGACUGCCGGUGACAAACCGGAGGAAGGUGGGGAUGACGUCAAAUCAUCAUGCCCCUUAUGACCUGGGCUACACACGUGCUACAAUGGACAGAACAAAGGGCUGCAAGACCGCAAGGUUUAGCCAAUCCCAUAAAUCUGUUCUCAGUUCGGAUCGCAGUCUGCAACUCGACUGCGUGAAGCUGGAAUCGCUAGUAAUCGCGGAUCAGCAUGCCGCGGUGAAUACGUUCCCGGGCCUUGUACACGCCGCCCGUCACACCACGAGAGUUUGCCCUUCCCGAAGUCGGUGAGGUAACCUUUAUGGAGCCAGCCGCCGA